Molecule: ribosomal RNA, 429 nt
Filed under: uncultured bacterium
Lineage: Bacteria
Description: bacterial SSU rRNA
Rfam family: Bacterial small subunit ribosomal RNA
Source: RNAcentral
GUCCAGACUCCUACGGGAGGCAGCAGUGGGGAAUAUUGCACAAUGGGGGAAACCCUGAUGCAGCGACGCCGCGUGAGCGAUGAAGUAUUUCGGUAUGUAAAGCUCUAUCAGCAGGGAAGAAAAUGACGGUACCUGACUAAGAAGCCCCGGCUAACUACGUGCCAGCAGCCGCGGUAAUACGUAGGGGGCAAGCGUUAUCCGGAUUUACUGGGUGUAAAGGGAGCGUAGACGGUCCUGCAAGCCAGAUGUGAAAGCCCGGGGCUCAACCCCGGGACUGCAUUUGGAACUGUAAGGCUAGAGUGUCGGAGAGGCAGGCGGAAUUCCUAGUGUAGCGGUGAAAUGCGUAGAUAUUAGGAAGAACGCCAGUGGAGAAGGCGGCUUUCUGGACUGAAACUGACGCUGAGGCACGAAAGCGUGGGGAGCGAACAG